Molecule: long non-coding RNA, 1342 nt
Filed under: Linum usitatissimum (flax)
Lineage: Eukaryota; Viridiplantae; Streptophyta; Magnoliopsida; Malpighiales; Linaceae
Description: long non-coding RNA (LUSI_LNC002448)
Source: RNAcentral
AGCCAUACAAGUACAAGUCACCACCACCGCCGCCAGUCUAUAAGUCUCCUCCACCACCGGUGUACAAGUACAAAUCUCCUCCCCCGCCGGUUUACAAGUACAAGUCACCACCACCGCCGCCAGUCUAUAAGUCUCCUCCACCACCGGUGUACAAGUACAAAUCUCCUCCCCCGCCGGUUUACAAGUACAAGUCACCACCGCCACCGGUGUACAAGUCGCCUCCUCCACCAACAAAGCCAUACAAGUACAAGUCUCCACCACCACCAGUCUAUAAGUCACCACCGCCACCGGUUUACAAGUAAAAACCCCCCCCGCCACCGGUGUACAAGUAUAAGUCACCGCCGCCUCCAGUCUACAAGUCUCCUCCGCCACCAGUUUACAAGUACAAAUCACCGCCGCCGCCAGUCUAUAAGUCACCACCGCCUCCAAUGAAGCCAUACAAGUACAAGUCACCACCACCGCCGCCGGUUUACAAGUCUCCUCCUCCGCCGGUGUACAAGUACAAAUCACCGCCGCCGCCAGUCUAUAAGUCACCACCGCCUCCAAUGAAGCCAUACAAGUACAAGUCACCACCACCGCCGCCAGUCUAUAAGUCUCCUCCACCACCGGUGUACAAGUACAAAUCACCACCGCCACCGGUUUACAAGUACAAGUCACCGCCGCCGCCGGUGCACAAACCACCUCCACAUUACAUCUCUGCGUCACCCCCUCCACCAUACCACGUCUAGAUGAGUCAACCCCCCAAGGUAAUACUACUAAUCAACAACUCAUAUCCAAUCACUGAAUAAGGGGCCGUUUGACAUAGAGAAAAUAUAUUUGUAUUUGUGGGAAAAUUAUUUAUUUUGAAAUUAACAUAUUUGCAUUAGUGACAAAUAUCACAAAUAUUUUUAGUUAUCAUUGGUUUAUCUUAUUCUGAAAAACAAUAACGUAAUUCUAAUUUCCUCAAAUAAAAAAUUUAGUUCUAUUAUUUAUGAAAUAUACAUAUCAAACAUUAUAGCCUAGCAAGUUUUUAUUAAUUAAUAAUACUGACCCCUCUCUCAACAACUCGAGCUAUUGGAGAUACGAUGAUCGAUUUUGGACAUGGUAUCAUAGAUUUAAAAAACCAAGAGGUCUCCUUUUCAAAUCCCGACAGUCUCCAUUCCGUACAUAUGACUUAUCGUGUGAACCUCAUUUCUUCUUAAAACUUCUGUCUGAAGGGCAUAUUAAUGAAUACUAUAUACAAAAUUGAUCUGAACCUUCCCCCAACAACUUACAAUGCAACGAUUCAUGACAAUUUUCUCGAUUUAGUACUCGAUACUCGGUACGAAACGGUGCCUUAAUUACUAACUUGUGUCUUGGUCCU